UACGUAGGGUGCGAGCGUUGUCCGGAAUUAUUGGGCGUAAAGCGCGCGCAGGCGGUUCUUUAAGUCUGAUGUGAAAGCCCACGGCUCAACCGUGGAGGGUCAUUGGAAACUGGGGAACUUGAGUACAGAAGAGGAAAGCGGAAUUCCACGUGUAGCGGUGAAAUGCGUAGAGAUGUGGAGGAACACCAGUGGCGAAGGCGGCUUUCUGGUCUGUAACUGACGCUGAGGCGCGAAAGCGUGGGGAGCAAACAGG
RNAcentral lists this ribosomal RNA (253 nucleotides) under uncultured bacterium. RNAcentral describes it as "partial 16S ribosomal RNA". It matches the Rfam family "Bacterial small subunit ribosomal RNA", at positions 524 to 776 of the family's 1533-position model. The record is from RNAcentral.